RNAcentral lists this ribosomal RNA (583 nucleotides) under uncultured bacterium. RNAcentral describes it as "partial 16S ribosomal RNA". It matches the Rfam family "Bacterial small subunit ribosomal RNA", at positions 355 to 1375 of the family's 1533-position model. The record is from RNAcentral.
UGGGGAAUUUUGGACAAUGGGCGAAAGCCUGAUCCAGCAAUGCCGCGUGUGUGAAGAAGGCCUUCGGGUUGUAAAGCACUUUUGUCCGGAAAGAAAUCCUUGGCUCUAAUACAGUCGGGGGAUGACGGUACCGGAAGAAUAAGCACCGGCUAACUACGUGCCAGCAGCCGCGGUAAUACGUAGGGUGCAAGCGUUAAUCGGAAUUACUGGGCGUAAAGCGUGCGCAGGCGGUUUGCUAAGACCGAUGUGAAAUCCCCGGGCUCAACCUGGGAACUGCAUUGGUGACUGGCAGGCUAGAGUAUGGCAGAGGGGGGUAGAAUUCCACGUGUAGCAGUGGAAUGCGUAGAGAUGUGGAGGAAUACCGAUGGCGAAGGCAGCCCCCUGGGCCAAUACUGACGCUCAUGCACGAAAGCGUGGGGAGCAAACAGGAUUAGAUACCCUGGUAGUCCACGCCCUAAACGAUGUCAACUAGUUGUUGGGGAUUCAUUCCUUAGUAACGUAGCUAACGCGUGAAGUUGACCGCCUGGGGAGUACGGUCGCAAGAUUAAAACUUAAUGAAUUGACGGGGUCAUAGCUGUUUCCU